GGGCCUGUAGCUUAGCUGGUAGAGCGCAGCAUUUGCAAUGCUGAGGUCACCGGUUCGAAUCCGGUCAGGUCCACAA
RNAcentral lists this transfer RNA (76 nucleotides) under Candidatus Gottesmanbacteria bacterium RIFCSPHIGHO2_01_FULL_43_15. Its description in RNAcentral is "tRNA-Ala". It matches the Rfam family "tRNA". From Rfam's summary of the family: Transfer RNA (tRNA) molecules are approximately 80 nucleotides in length. Their secondary structure includes four short double-helical elements and three loops (D, anti-codon, and T loops). Lineage: Bacteria; Candidatus Gottesmaniibacteriota. The record is from RNAcentral.